This 3100-nucleotide ribosomal RNA is filed under the name Pseudomonas syringae pv. cerasicola. Its description in RNAcentral is "bacterial LSU rRNA". It matches the Rfam family "Bacterial large subunit ribosomal RNA". The record is from RNAcentral. Lineage: Bacteria; Pseudomonadati; Pseudomonadota; Gammaproteobacteria; Pseudomonadales; Pseudomonadaceae.
GUUAUAUGGUCAAGUGAAGAAGCGCAUACGGUGGAUGCCUUGGCAGUCAGAGGCGAUGAAAGACGUGGUAGCCUGCGAAAAGCUUCGGGGAGUCGGCAAACAGACUGUGAUCCGGAGAUGUCUGAAUGGGGGAACCCAGCCAUCAUAAGAUGGUUAUCUUGUACUGAAUACAUAGGUGCAAGAGGCGAACCAGGGGAACUGAAACAUCUAAGUACCCUGAGGAAAAGAAAUCAACCGAGAUUCCCUUAGUAGUGGCGAGCGAACGGGGACCAGCCCUUAAGUUGUAUUGAGAUUAGCGGAACGUUCUGGAAAGGACGGCCAUAGUGGGUGAUAGCCCUGUACGCGAAAAUCCCUUUGCAAUGAAAUCGAGUAGGACGGGGCACGAGAAACCUUGUCUGAAUAUGGGGGGACCAUCCUCCAAGGCUAAAUACUACUGACUGACCGAUAGUGAACCAGUACCGUGAGGGAAAGGCGAAAAGAACCUUGUCUGAAUAUGGGGGGACCAUCCUCCAAGGCUAAAUACUACUGACUGACCGAUAGUGAACCAGUACCGUGAGGGAAAGGCGAAAAGAACCGCGGAGAGCGGAGUGAAAUAGAUCCUGAAACCGUAUGCGUACAAGCAGUGGGAGCCCACUUUGUUGGGUGACUGCGUACCUUUUGUAUAAUGGGUCAGCGACUUAUUUUCAGUGGCGAGCUUAACCGAAUAGGGGAGGCGUAGCGAAAGCGAGUCUUAAUAGGGCGUCUAGUCGCUGGGAAUAGACCCGAAACCGGGCGAUCUAUCCAUGGGCAGGUUGAAGGUUGGGUAACACUAACUGGAGGACCGAACCGACUACCGUUGAAAAGUUAGCGGAUGACCUGUGGAUCGGAGUGAAAGGCUAAUCAAGCUCGGAGAUAGCUGGUUCUCCUCGAAAGCUAUUUAGGUAGCGCCUCAUGUAUCACUGUAGGGGGUAGAGCACUGUUUCGGCUAGGGGGUCAUCCCGACUUACCAAACCGAUGCAAACUCCGAAUACCUACAAGUGCCGAGCAUGGGAGACACACGGCGGGUGCUAACGUCCGUCGUGAAAAGGGAAACAACCCAGACCGUCAGCUAAGGUCCCAAAGUCAUGGUUAAGUGGGAAACGAUGUGGGAAGGCUUAGACAGCUAGGAGGUUGGCUUAGAAGCAGCCACCCUUUAAAGAAAGCGUAAUAGCUCACUAGUCGAGUCGGCCUGCGCGGAAGAUGUAACGGGGCUCAAACCAUGCACCGAAGCUACGGGUAUCAUCUUAGGAUGAUGCGGUAGAGGAGCGUUCUGUAAGCCUGUGAAGGUGAGUUGAGAAGCUUGCUGGAGGUAUCAGAAGUGCGAAUGCUGACAUGAGUAACGACAAUGGGUGUGAAAAACACCCACGCCGAAAGACCAAGGUUUCCUGCGCAACGUUAAUCGACGCAGGGUUAGUCGGUCCCUAAGGCGAGGCUGAAAAGCGUAGUCGAUGGAAAACAGGUUAAUAUUCCUGUACUUCUGGUUAUUGCGAUGGAGGGACGGAGAAGGCUAGGCCAGCCUGGCGUUGGUUGUCCAGGUUUAAGGUGGUAGGCUGAGAUCUUAGGUAAAUCCGGGAUCUCAAGGCCGAGAGCUGAUGACGAGUGUUCUUUAGAACACGAAGUGGUUGAUGCCAUGCUUCCAAGAAAAGCUUCUAAGCUUCAGGUAACCAGGAACCGUACCCCAAACCGACACAGGUGGUUGGGUAGAGAAUACCAAGGCGCUUGAGAGAACUCGGGUGAAGGAACUAGGCAAAAUGGCACCGUAACUUCGGGAGAAGGUGCGCCGGUGAGGGUGAAGCAUUUACUGCGUAAGCCCACGCCGGUCGAAGAUACCAGGCCGCUGCGACUGUUUAUUAAAAACACAGCACUCUGCAAACACGAAAGUGGACGUAUAGGGUGUGACGCCUGCCCGGUGCCGGAAGGUUAAUUGAUGGGGUUAGCGCAAGCGAAGCUCUUGAUCGAAGCCCCGGUAAACGGCGGCCGUAACUAUAACGGUCCUAAGGUAGCGAAAUUCCUUGUCGGGUAAGUUCCGACCUGCACGAAUGGCGUAACGAUGGCGGCGCUGUCUCCACCCGAGACUCAGUGAAAUUGAAAUCGCUGUGAAGAUGCAGUGUAUCCGCGGCUAGACGGAAAGACCCCGUGAACCUUUACUAUAGCUUUGCACUGGACUUUGAAUUUGCUUGUGUAGGAUAGGUGGGAGGCUUUGAAGCGUGGACGCCAGUCUGCGUGGAGCCAACCUUGAAAUACCACCCUGGCAACUUUGAGGUUCUAACUCAGGUCCGUUAUCCGGAUCGAGGACAGUGUAUGGUGGGUAGUUUGACUGGGGCGGUCUCCUCCUAAAGAGUAACGGAGGAGUACGAAGGUGCGCUCAGACCGGUCGGAAAUCGGUCGUAGAGUAUAAAGGCAAAAGCGCGCUUGACUGCGAGACAGACACGUCGAGCAGGUACGAAAGUAGGUCUUAGUGAUCCGGUGGUUCUGUAUGGAAGGGCCAUCGCUCAACGGAUAAAAGGUACUCCGGGGAUAACAGGCUGAUACCGCCCAAGAGUUCAUAUCGACGGCGGUGUUUGGCACCUCGAUGUCGGCUCAUCACAUCCUGGGGCUGAAGCCGGUCCCAAGGGUAUGGCUGUUCGCCAUUUAAAGUGGUACGCGAGCUGGGUUUAGAACGUCGUGAGACAGUUCGGUCCCUAUCUGCCGUGGACGUUUGAGAUUUGAGAGGGGCUGCUCCUAGUACGAGAGGACCGGAGUGGACGAACCUCUGGUGUUCCGGUUGUCACGCCAGUGGCAUUGCCGGGUAGCUAUGUUCGGAAAAGAUAACCGCUGAAAGCAUCUAAGCGGGAAACUUGCCUCAAGAUGAGAUCUCACUGGAACCUUGAGUUCCCUAGAAAGCUAUGUUCGGAAAAGAUAACCGCUGAAAGCAUCUAAGCGGGAAACUUGCCUCAAGAUGAGAUCUCACUGGAACCUUGAGUUCCCUAGAGGGCCGUCGAAGACUACGACGUUGAUAGGUUGGGUGUGUAAGCGCUGUGAGGCGUUGAGCUAACCAAUACUAAUUGCCCGUGAGGCUUGACCAUAUAACACCCAAGCAAUU